RNAcentral lists this ribosomal RNA (274 nucleotides) under uncultured bacterium. RNAcentral's name for it is "partial 16S ribosomal RNA". It matches the Rfam family "Bacterial small subunit ribosomal RNA", at positions 337 to 628 of the family's 1533-position model. The record is from RNAcentral.
ACCUACGGGGGGCAGCAGUGGGGGAUAUUGCACAAUGGGGGAAACCCUGAUGCAGCGACGCCGCGUGAGUGAAGAAGUAUUUCGGUAUGUAAAGCUCUAUCAGCAGGGAAGAAAAUGACAGUACCUGACCAAGAAGCCCCGGCUAACUACGUGCCAGCAGCCGCGGUAAUACGUAGGGGGCAAGCGUUAUCCGGAUUUACUGGGUGUAAAGGGAGCGUAGACGGUUAUGUAAGUCUGGAGUGAAAGCCCGGGGCCCAACCACGGGACUGCUUUG